GACGUAGGGCGCGAGCGUUGUCCGGAUUUAUUGGGCGUAAAGAGCUCGUAGGCGGCUUGUCGCGUCGACUGUGAAAACCCGCGGCUCAACUGCGGGCCUGCAGCCGAUACGGGCAGGCUAGAGUUCGGUAGGGGAGAUUGGAAUUCCUGGUGUAGCGGUGGAAUGCGCAGAUAUCAGGAGGAACACCGAUGGCGAAGGCAGAUCUCUGGGCCGUAACUGACGCUGAGGAGCGAAAGCGUGGGGAGCGAACAGG
Molecule: ribosomal RNA, 253 nt
Filed under: uncultured bacterium
Lineage: Bacteria
Description: partial 16S ribosomal RNA
Rfam family: Bacterial small subunit ribosomal RNA
Source: RNAcentral